UGAUGGAAAGACGCUGCAACAUCCCGUUUCUUUUAAUCGGUGAUCCUGCAUAUCCACUGCUUCUAUGACUAAUAAAGGGAUACACGCAACAACGAAGGUUAACGACCGCGGAAUUGACGUUUAGUUCAUAGUUAAGUGGUGCAAGAGUCUCACGAGUAUAUUAAUAUGUUGGAUUUAAUUAAAAAUAUAAAUAAAAGAGAAUGAAUUAAUAAAUAAGGAGACACAGUCUGAAGCCUACAGCCUAUGUUAGCUCGCUUAUAAAGAGACUUGAAAUUUUUCAGAAGCUAUAUAAAUGACUGCAAGCAAACCCCUGAAAAUUGUACUAUAAACUGUAUAGCAAAACGUUCAGUAAUUUAAAGCGGAUCUCAAGACAGUACAAAUUUUUUAAAGGCUAUGAAAAGUAUACUUGAUGAUGGACGUUAUAUUAGCUUGCUUAUUAAGACAGUGACUGCAAACCAUCAAGAAUUUUCCUACAAAUUCUACAGAAACACGUUUAGUGCAUUAGGGCAAUUUUAUAUACCAACAAUAUGAAAGUGGGCAGGUCAAUGUCAGGCAUGGAUGGAAACAAUAUUCAAGGUCAUAAUCCAACAACCUUGGAGUGCGUCAGGCAAAUAUUCUAUGGAAACUUUUGUUUGCUGAGGCGUGAGGAGAGUGAAGAAUGCACUUCCUUAGAUAAAAUUUAUGACGGAUUGUCUAGCAUUCGGAUAACAUAGUACUGUGAACAAAUAGUGUCUAGAUGAGUAUUUAUCAUUAAAUACUGUAGCUACGACGUUUGACUCUAGUUAAAUCAACGCAAAGCUUGAGAAUAUUAACACGACCUGAUGGCCGUCAGCUGAUUGUUGAGGUACAUUAAAUCAAAUAGCAGAAAAGUUAAAAAUGAUAAUUUACUCAGUUCACCAUCACCGACCAAUGAAAAAAUAUUCUCAAGCUUCGAGUAGAUCCAACUAAUGCUGAACGUCGUGGCUACGGUAUAUAAUGAUCAUUUACACCAUUAACGCAGUCCAAUAGUCGUUAUCCAAUUGUUCAGUAAUAUCCAGUCGAGCAUUA
This is a long non-coding RNA of Chelonus insularis, 1047 nucleotides long. RefSeq lists it as uncharacterized. The transcript is spliced from 4 exons. The record is from RefSeq and is a predicted model, not a curated record. NCBI's taxonomy places the organism in Eukaryota, Metazoa, Arthropoda, Insecta, Hymenoptera, Braconidae.